UCCUACGGGGCGCAGCAGGCGAGAAAACUUUGCAAUGUGCGAAAGCACGACAAGGUUAAUCCGAGUGAUUUCUGCCAAAGAAAUCUUUUGCAAGUCAUAAAACCACUAGUGAAUAAGGGGUGGGCAAGUUCUGGUGUCAGCCGCCGCGGUAAAACCAGCACCUCAAGUGGUCAGGAGGAUUAUUGGGCCUAAAGCAUCCGUAGCCGGCUCUGUAAGUUUUCGGUUAAAUCCAUGUGCUCAACGCAUGGGCUGCCGAAAAUACUGCAUAGCUAGGGAGUGGGAGAGGUAGACGGUACUCGGUAGGAAGGGGUAAAAUCCUUUGAUCUAUCGAUGACCACCUGUGGCGAAGGCGGUCUACCAGAACACGUUCGACGGUGAGGGAUGAAAGCUGGGGGAGCAAACCGGAUUAGAUACCCGGGUAGUCCCAGCUGUAAACGAUGCAGACUCGAUGAUGCAUUGGCAUAUAGCCAGUGCAGUGUCGCAGGGAAGCCGUUAAGUCUGCCGCCUGGGAAGUACCGUACGCAAGUAUGAAACUUUAAAGGAAUUGGCGGGGGAGCACCACAAGGGGUGAAGCCUGCGGUUCAAUUGGAGUCAACGCCAGAAAUCUUACCCGGAGAGACAGCAGAAUGAAGGUCAAGCUGAAGACUUUACCAGACAAGCUGAGAGGUGGUGCAUGGCCGUCGCCAGCUCGUGCCGUGAGAUGUCCUGUUAAGUCAGGUAACGAGCGAGAUCCCCGCCACUAGUUGCUAUCAUUAUUCUCAGGAAUAGUGGGGCGAAUUAGUGGGACUGCCGUUGUUAAAACGGAGGAAGGAGGGGGCUACGGCAGGUCAGUAUGCCCCGAAACUCUGGGGCCACACGCGGGCUGCAAUGGUAGCGACAAUGAGCUCCAAACUCGAAAGAGAGUGGCAAUCUCUAAACGCUACCACAGUUAUGACUGAGGGCUGUAACUCGCCCUCACGAAUAUGGAAUCCCUAGUAACCGCGUGUCAUUACCGCGCGGUGAAUACGUCCCUGCUCCUUGCACUCACCGCCCGUC
This 1035-nucleotide ribosomal RNA is filed under the name uncultured archaeon. RNAcentral describes it as "bacterial SSU rRNA". It matches the Rfam family "Archaeal small subunit ribosomal RNA", at positions 321 to 1354 of the family's 1478-position model. The record is from RNAcentral.